UACGGAAGGCAGCAGUGGGGAAUAUUGCACAAUGGGCGAAAGCCUGAUGCAGCUAUGCCGCGUGUAUGAAGAAGGCCUUAGGGUUGUAAAGUACUUUCAUCGGGGAGGAAAAAACAAAACUAAUAAUUUUAUUUCUUGACGUUACCCGAAAAAGAAGCACCGGCUAACUCCGUGCCAGCAGCCGCGGUAAUACGGAGGGUGCUAGCGUUAAUCAGAAUUACUGGGCGUAAAGAGCACGUAGGUGGUUUUUUUAAGUCAGAUGUGAAAUCCCUGGGCUUAACCUAGGAACUGCAUUUUGAAACUGAAAUACUAGAGUAUCGUAGAGGGAGGUAGAAUUCUAGGUGUAGCGGUGAAAUGCGUAGAUAUCUGGAGGAAUACCUGUGGCGAAAGCGGCCUCCUAAACGAAUACUGACACUGAGGUGCGAAAGCUGGGGAGCAAACAGGGAUUAGAUACC
This 455-nucleotide ribosomal RNA is filed under the name uncultured bacterium. RNAcentral describes it as "bacterial SSU rRNA". It matches the Rfam family "Bacterial small subunit ribosomal RNA", at positions 340 to 786 of the family's 1533-position model. The record is from RNAcentral.